AUUGAACGCUGGCGGCAUGCCUUACACAUGCAAGUCGAACGGCAGCACGGGUGCUUGCACCUGGUGGCGAGUGGCGAACGGAUGAGUAAUACAUCGGAACGUACCUUAUCGUGGGGGAUAACGCAGCGAAAGCUGUGCUAAUACCGCAUACGCCCUGAGGGGGAAAGCGGGGGAUCGCAAGACCUCGCGCGAUUAGAGCGGCCGAUGCCUGAUUAGCUUGUUGGUGGGGUAAAAGCCCACCAAGGCGACGAUCAGUAGCUGGUCUGAGAGGACGAUCAGCCACACUGGUACUGAGACACGGCCCAGACUCCUACGGGAGGCAGCAGUGGGGAAUUUUGGACAAUGGGGGCAACCCUGAUCCAGCAAUGCCGCGUGAGUGAAGAAGGCCUUCGGGUUGUAAAGCUCUUUUGUCAGGGAAGAAACACCGGCUCUAACACAGUCCGGGAAUGACGGUACCUGAAGAAUAAGCACCGGCUAACUACGUGCCAGCAGCCGCGGUAA
This 501-nucleotide ribosomal RNA is filed under the name uncultured bacterium. RNAcentral describes it as "partial 16S ribosomal RNA". It matches the Rfam family "Bacterial small subunit ribosomal RNA", at positions 30 to 523 of the family's 1533-position model. The record is from RNAcentral.